AUUGAACGCUGGCGGCAUGCUUUACACAUGCAAGUCGAACGGCAGCACAGGGAGCUUGCUCCUGGGUGGCGAGUGGCGAACGGGUGAGUAAUGUAUCGGAACGUGCCUGGUAGUUGGGGAUAACUACUCGAAAGAGUGGCUAAUACCGCAUGAGAUCUUUGGAUGAAAGCGGGGGACCUUCGGGCCUCGUGCUACUGGAGCGGCCGAUAUCAGAUUAGGUUGUUGGUGGGGUAAAGGCCUACCAAGCCUGCGAUCUGUAGCUGGUCUGAGAGGACGACCAGCCACACUGGGACUGAGACACGGCCCAGACUCCUACGGGAGGCAGCAGUGGGGAAUUUUGGACAAUGGGCGCAAGCCUGGUCCAGCAAUGCCGCGUGCAGGACGAAGGCCUUCGGGUUGUAAACUGCUUUUGUACAGAACGAAAAGUCUCUGGCUAAUAUCUAGCGAUCAUGACGGUACUGUAAGAAUAAGCACCGGCUAACUACGUG
Molecule: ribosomal RNA, 488 nt
Filed under: uncultured bacterium
Lineage: Bacteria
Description: partial 16S ribosomal RNA
Rfam family: Bacterial small subunit ribosomal RNA
Source: RNAcentral